This 253-nucleotide ribosomal RNA is filed under the name uncultured bacterium. RNAcentral's name for it is "partial 16S ribosomal RNA". It matches the Rfam family "Bacterial small subunit ribosomal RNA", at positions 524 to 776 of the family's 1533-position model. The record is from RNAcentral.
UACGGGGGGGGCAAGCGUUGUUCGGAAUUACUGGGCGUAAAGGGGUCGUAGGUGGCCUACUAAGUCAUACGUGAAAUCCCUCAGCUUAACUGGGGAACUGCGUCUGAGACUGGAAGGCUUGAGUGCAGGAGAGGAACGCGGAAUUCCAGGUGUAGCGGUGAAAUGCGUAGAUAUCUGGAGGAACACCGGUGGCGAAGGCGGCCUUCUGGACAGUGACUGACGCUGAGACGCGAAAGCGUGGGGAGCAAACAGG